RNAcentral lists this transfer RNA (74 nucleotides) under Bacteroidetes bacterium OLB10. RNAcentral's name for it is "tRNA-Phe". It matches the Rfam family "tRNA". From Rfam's summary of the family: Transfer RNA (tRNA) molecules are approximately 80 nucleotides in length. Lineage: Bacteria; Pseudomonadati; Bacteroidota. The record is from RNAcentral. RNAcentral also lists the same sequence under 2 other names.
GGUGACAUAGCUCAGUUGGUAGAGCAAAGGACUGAAAAUCCUUGUGUCGGUGGUUCGAUUCCACCUGUCACCAC